AGUGAACGCUGGCGGUAGGCCUAACACAUGCAAGUCGAACGGCAGCACCGUAAGAGCUUGCUCUUACGGGUGGCGAGUGGCGGACGGGUGAGGAAUACAUCGGAAUCUACUUUUUCGUGGGGGAUAACGUAGGGAAACUUACGCUAAUACCGCAUACGACCUACGGGUGAAAGCAGGGGAUCUUCGGACCUUGCGCGAUUGAAUGAGCCGAUGUCGGAUUAGCUAGUUGGCGGGGUAAAGGCCCACCAAGGCGACGAUCCGUAGCUGGUCUGUGAGGAUGAUCAGCCAAACUGGAACUGAGACACGGUCCAGGCUCCUACGGGAGGCAGCAGUGGGGAAUAUUGGACAAUGGGCGCAAGCCUGAUCCAGCCAUACCGCGUGGGUGAAGAAGGCCUUCGGGUUGUAAAGCCCUUUUGUUGGGAAAGAAAAGCAGCAGGUUAAUACCCCGCCGUUCUGACGGUACCCAAAGAAUAAGCAUCGGCUAACUUCGUG
This 492-nucleotide ribosomal RNA is filed under the name uncultured bacterium. Its description in RNAcentral is "partial 16S ribosomal RNA". It matches the Rfam family "Bacterial small subunit ribosomal RNA", at positions 29 to 507 of the family's 1533-position model. The record is from RNAcentral.